GCCGGGGUGGCCGAGUGGUUAAGGCGGUGGGCUCGAGACCCACUGGGGUACAUCCCCACGCGGGUUCGAAUCCCGCCCCCGGCGCCA
This 87-nucleotide transfer RNA is filed under the name Ignisphaera aggregans. RNAcentral describes it as "tRNA-Ser". It matches the Rfam family "tRNA". Rfam says of the family: Transfer RNA (tRNA) molecules are approximately 80 nucleotides in length. Their secondary structure includes four short double-helical elements and three loops (D, anti-codon, and T loops). RNAcentral also lists the same sequence under 1 other name. The record is from RNAcentral. Lineage: Archaea; Thermoproteati; Thermoproteota; Thermoprotei; Desulfurococcales; Desulfurococcaceae.